CCUACGGGUGGCAGCAGUGAGGAAUAUUGGUCAAUGGACGUAAGCCUGAACCAGCCAAGCCGCGUGAGGGAUGAAGGUUCUAUGGAUCGUAAACCUCUUUUAUAAGGGAGUAAAGUGCGGGACGUGUCCCGUUUUGUAUGUACCUUAUGAAUAAGGAUCGGCUAACUCCGUGCCAGCAGCCGCGGUAAUACGGAGGAUCCGAGCGUUAUCCGGAUUUAUUGGGUUUAAAGGGUGCGUAGGCGGUCUGUUAAGUUAGCGGUGAAAGGUUGUGGCUCAACCAUAGAAGUGCCGUUGAAACUGGGGGGCUUGAGUAUGGUGGAGGGAGGCGGAAUGCGUGGUGUAGCGGUGAAAUGCUUAGAUAUCACGCAGAACCCCGAUUGCGAAGGCAGCCUGCCAAGCCAUGACUGACGCUGAGGCACGAAAGCGUGGGGAUCAAACAGGAUUAGAUACCCGAGUAGUC
This 460-nucleotide ribosomal RNA is filed under the name uncultured bacterium. RNAcentral describes it as "partial 16S ribosomal RNA". It matches the Rfam family "Bacterial small subunit ribosomal RNA", at positions 338 to 795 of the family's 1533-position model. The record is from RNAcentral.